This 465-nucleotide ribosomal RNA is filed under the name Vreelandella stevensii. RNAcentral describes it as "partial 16S ribosomal RNA". It matches the Rfam family "Bacterial small subunit ribosomal RNA", at positions 338 to 795 of the family's 1533-position model. Lineage: Bacteria; Pseudomonadati; Pseudomonadota; Gammaproteobacteria; Oceanospirillales; Halomonadaceae. The record is from RNAcentral.
CCUACGGGAGGCAGCAGUGGGGAAUAUUGGACAAUGGGCGAAAGCCUGAUCCAGCCAUGCCGCGUGUGUGAAGAAGGCCUUCGGGUUGUAAAGCACUUUCAGUGGGGAAGAAAGCCUUGGGGCUAAUACCCUCGAGGAAGGACAUCACCCACAGAAGAAGCACCGGCUAACUCCGUGCCAGCAGCCGCGGUAAUACGGAGGGUGCGAGCGUUAAUCGGAAUUACUGGGCGUAAAGCGCGCGUAGGCGGUCUGAUAAGCCGGUUGUGAAAGCCCCGGGCUCAACCUGGGAACGGCAUCCGGAACUGUCAGGCUAGAGUGCAGGAGAGGAAGGUAGAAUUCCCGGUGUAGCGGUGAAAUGCGUAGAGAUCGGGAGGAAUACCAGUGGCGAAGGCGGCCUUCAGGACUGACACUGACGCUGAGGUGCGAAAGCGUGGGUAGCAAACAGGAUUAGAUACCCGUGUAGUC